This 425-nucleotide ribosomal RNA is filed under the name uncultured bacterium. RNAcentral describes it as "partial 16S ribosomal RNA". It matches the Rfam family "Bacterial small subunit ribosomal RNA", at positions 354 to 796 of the family's 1533-position model. The record is from RNAcentral.
GUGGGGAAUAUUGGGCAAUGGGCGAAAGCCUGACCCAGCAACGCCGCGUGAAGGAAGAAGGUCUUCGGAUCGUAAACUUCUAUCCUUGGUGAAGAUAAUGACGGUAGCCGAGAAGGAAGCCCCGGCUAACUACGUGCCAGCAGCCGCGGUAAUACGUAGGGGGCAAGCGUUGUCCGGAAUGAUUGGGCGUAAAGGGCGCGUAGGCGGCCUGGUAAGUCUGGAGUGAAAGUACUGCUUUUAAGGUGGGAAUUGCUUUGGAUACUGUCGGGCUUGAGUGCAGGAGAGGUAAGUGGAAUUCCCGGUGUAGCGGUGAAAUGCGUAGAGAUCGGGAGGAACACCAGUGGCGAAGGCGACUUACUGGACUGUAACUGACGCUGAGGCGCGAAAGUGUGGGGAGCAAACAGGAUUAGAAACCCGUGUAGUCC